This 390-nucleotide ribosomal RNA is filed under the name uncultured Neisseriaceae bacterium. Its description in RNAcentral is "bacterial SSU rRNA". It matches the Rfam family "Bacterial small subunit ribosomal RNA", at positions 30 to 407 of the family's 1533-position model. Lineage: Bacteria; Pseudomonadati; Pseudomonadota; Betaproteobacteria; Neisseriales; Neisseriaceae. The record is from RNAcentral.
AUUGAACGCUGGCGGCAUGCUUUACACAUGCAAGUCGAACGGUAGCGGGGAAGAAGCUUGCUUCUUCUGCCGACGAGUGGCGAACGGGUGAGUAAUAUAUCGGAACGUGCCAAGUAAUGGGGGAUAACUAUCCGAAAGGAUGGCUAAUACCGACAUACGCUCUACGGAGGAAAGCAGGGGAUCUUCGGACCUUGCGUUAUUUGAGCGGCCGAUAUCUGACUAGCUAGUUGGUGGGUAAAGCCGUACCAAGGCAACGAUCAGUAGCGGGUCUGAGAGGAUGAUCCGCCACACUGGGACUGAGACACGGCCCAGACUCCUACGGGGAGCAGCAGGGUGGGGGAAUUUUGGGACAAUGGGCGGAAANCCUGAUCCAGUCAUGCCGCGUGUAUG